RNAcentral lists this non-coding RNA (22 nucleotides) under Rattus norvegicus (Norway rat). Lineage: Eukaryota; Metazoa; Chordata; Mammalia; Rodentia; Muridae. The record is from RNAcentral.
AUAGACCCACGGAUGACCAGAG